GACGAACGCUGGCGGCGUGCUUAACACAUGCAAGUCGAACGGAAAGGCCCUGCUUUUGUGGGGUGCUCGAGUGGCGAACGGGUGAGUAACACGUGAGUAACCUGCCCUUGACUUUGGGAUAACUUCAGGAAACUGGGGCUAAUACCGGAUAGGAGCUCCUGCUGCAUGGUGGGGGUUGGAAAGUUUCGGCGGUUGGGGAUGGACUCGCGGCUUAUCAGCUUGUUGGUGGGGUAGUGGCUUACCAAGGCUUUGACGGGUAGCCGGCCUGAGAGGGUGACCGGCCACAUUGGGACUGAGAUACGGCCGAGACUCCUACGGGAGGGAGCAGUGGGGAAUAUUGAACAAUGGACGGAAGCCGGAUGCAGCAACGCCGCGUGCGGGAUGACGGCCUUCGGGUUGUAAACCGCUUGCGCCUGUGACGAAGCGUGUGUGACGGUAAUGGGUAAAGAAGCACCGGCUAACUUCGGG
RNAcentral lists this ribosomal RNA (468 nucleotides) under uncultured bacterium. Its description in RNAcentral is "partial 16S ribosomal RNA". It matches the Rfam family "Bacterial small subunit ribosomal RNA", at positions 28 to 507 of the family's 1533-position model. The record is from RNAcentral.